UAGGACGAACGCUGGCGGCGUGCCUAACACAUGCAAGUCGAGCGGGACAUACGACGGAGUCAAAGUUUCGGAUGGAGACGAAGAUGUAUGUUCUAGCGGCGGACGGGUGAGUAACGCGUGAGCAACCUGUCCCUUACAGGGGGAUAACACAGCGAAAGUUGUACUAAUACCGCAUGAGACCACGGGAGGACAUCCUCCAGGGGUCAAAGGAGCAAUCCGGUAAGGGGUGGGCUCGCGUCCGAUUAGAUAGUUGGUGAGGUAACGGCCCACCAAGUCGACGAUCGGUAGCCGACCUGAGAGGGUGAUCGGCCACAUUGGGACUGAGACACGGCCCAAACUCCUACGGGAGGCAGCAGUGGGGAAUAUUGGGCAAUGGGGGAAACCCUGACCCAGCAACGCCGCGUGAGGGAAGAAGGUUUUCGGAUCGUAAACCUCUGUCCUUGGUGAAGAGUGAGAGACGGUAGCCAAGGAGGAAGCCCCGGCUAACUACGUGCCAGCAGCAGC
Molecule: ribosomal RNA, 504 nt
Filed under: uncultured bacterium
Lineage: Bacteria
Description: bacterial SSU rRNA
Rfam family: Bacterial small subunit ribosomal RNA
Source: RNAcentral